Molecule: unclassified non-coding RNA, 392 nt
Filed under: soil metagenome
Description: partial contains 5.8S ribosomal RNA, internal transcribed spacer 2, and large subunit ribosomal RNA
Rfam family: 5.8S ribosomal RNA (bases 1-120)
Source: RNAcentral
GAUGAAGAACGCAGCGAAAUGCGAAAAGUAAUGCGAAUUGCAGAAUUCAGCGAGUCAUCGAGUUUUUGAACGCACAUUGCGCCCGCCGGUAUUCCGGCGGGCAUGCCUGUCCGAGCGUCUUUAACAAACCUUCGAGCCCCCUCUCCCGGUUUCGGGGGAGCGCUCGGUGUUGGGUCCCCGUUUCCCGGGCGCGUCGUCGUCGCGGGAGGUCCCGAAAUCCACAGCCGGAGGACGCUCAGUGGUUGAGCCGGUCGUGCCAGGGUCGCGCGAUCGGGACGCUCUUCCCCGACGUCCUUUCCGGAAAGACACCUCAAGCUUCGACGCUUUUUUUUUUUUGACCUCGGAUCAGGUAGGGUUACCCGCUGAACUUAAGCAUAUCAAUAAGCGGAGGA